GGCCUGAUGGUCUAGGAGUAUGAUUCGUUGUUAGGGCUGACGACUUUCGACGAGGUCCCGGGUUCAAUUCCCGGUCAGGCCC
This 82-nucleotide transfer RNA is filed under the name Lentinula boryana. Its description in RNAcentral is "tRNA-Pro". It matches the Rfam family "tRNA". From Rfam's summary of the family: Transfer RNA (tRNA) molecules are approximately 80 nucleotides in length. Their secondary structure includes four short double-helical elements and three loops (D, anti-codon, and T loops). Further hydrogen bonds mediate the characteristic L-shaped molecular structure. tRNAs have two regions of fundamental functional importance: the anti-codon, which is responsible for specific mRNA codon recognition, and the 3' end, to which the tRNAs corresponding amino acid is attached (by aminoacyl-tRNA synthetases). tRNAs cope with the degeneracy of the genetic code in two manners: having more than one tRNA (with a specific anti-codon) for a particular amino acid; and 'wobble' base-pairing, i.e. permitting non-standard base-pairing at the 3rd anti-codon position. The record is from RNAcentral. Lineage: Eukaryota; Fungi; Basidiomycota; Agaricomycetes; Agaricales; Omphalotaceae.